RNAcentral lists this unclassified non-coding RNA (344 nucleotides) under uncultured fungus. RNAcentral's name for it is "partial contains small subunit ribosomal RNA, internal transcribed spacer 1, and 5.8S ribosomal RNA". The stretch from base 1 to 73 matches the Rfam family "Eukaryotic small subunit ribosomal RNA", at positions 1759 to 1831 of the family's 1831-position model. The record is from RNAcentral. Lineage: Eukaryota; Fungi.
CCAAACUUGGUCAUUUAGAGGAAGUAAAAGUCGUAACAAGGUCUCCGUAGGUGAACCUGCGGAGGGAUCAUUACCGAGCGUCCCGGCCCUCCAGGGCCGCGGCCUCACCAUCCUUUGCUUAAACCCCCCUUGCGGGGCCUCUCCUCCGGCCGACGGCCCGAGAGAGGGGCCCUUGGACUCGGCCGCCCGGGCAGACCUCCCCCGGGAAACAGGGGGCGCCCGCCCUCCGCUCCGGUGGCCGAGCCCGAACCCAAACCUUAAAAACGUGUCUUCUCGGCCCAGCCGAACCAAACACAACCUGCAACGAUGGAUCUCUUGGCUCUGGCAUCGAUGAAGAACGCAGC